RNAcentral lists this ribosomal RNA (496 nucleotides) under uncultured bacterium. RNAcentral describes it as "partial 16S ribosomal RNA". It matches the Rfam family "Bacterial small subunit ribosomal RNA", at positions 28 to 506 of the family's 1533-position model. The record is from RNAcentral.
GAUGAACGCUGGCGGCGUGCCUAAUACAUGCAAGUCGAGCGAACGGACGAGAAGCUUGCUUCUCUGAUGUUAGCGGCGGACGGGUGAGUAACACGUGGAUAACCUACCUAUAAGACUGGGAUAACUUCGGGAAACCGGAGCUAAUACCGGAUAAUAUUUUGAACCGCAUGGUUCAAAAGUGAAAGACGGUCUUGCUGUCACUUAUAGAUGGAUCCGCGCUGCAUUAGCUAGUUGGUAAGGUAACGGCUUACCAAGGCAACGAUGCAUAGCCGACCUGAGAGGGGGAUCGGCCACACUGGAGCUGAGACACGGUCCAGACUCGUACGGGAGGCAGCAGUAGGGAAUCUGCCGCAAUGGGCGAAAGCCUGACGGAGCAACGCCGCGUGAGUGAUGAAGGUCUUCGGAUCGUAAAACGCUGUUAUGAGGUAAGAACAUAUGUGUAAGUAACUGUGCACAUCUGGACGGUACCUAAGCAGAAAGCCACGGCUAACUACGU